Molecule: ribosomal RNA, 370 nt
Filed under: Salmonella enterica subsp. enterica serovar Give
Lineage: Bacteria; Pseudomonadati; Pseudomonadota; Gammaproteobacteria; Enterobacterales; Enterobacteriaceae
Description: bacterial SSU rRNA
Rfam family: Bacterial small subunit ribosomal RNA
Source: RNAcentral
GAGCUUGCUCUCGGGUGACGAGUGGCGGACGGGUGAGUAAUGUCUGGGAAACUGCCUGAUGGAGGGGGAUAACUACUGGAAACGGUAGCUAAUACCGCAUAACGUCGCAAGACCAAAGAGGGGGACCUUCGGGCCUCUUGCCAUCAGAUGUGCCCAGAUGGGAUUAGCUUGUUGGUGAGGUAACGGCUCACCAAGGCGACGAUCCCUAGCUGGUCUGAGAGGAUGACCAGCCACACUGGAACUGAGACACGGUCCAGACUCCUACGGGAGGCAGCAGUGGGGAAUAUUGCACAAUGGGCGCAAGCCUGAUGCAGCCAUGCCGCGUGUAUGAAGAAGGCCUUCGGGUUGUAAAGUACUUUCAGCGGGGAGG